RNAcentral lists this ribosomal RNA (514 nucleotides) under Corixidea crassa. RNAcentral's name for it is "partial large subunit ribosomal RNA". It matches the Rfam family "Eukaryotic large subunit ribosomal RNA", at positions 664 to 1140 of the family's 3401-position model. Lineage: Eukaryota; Metazoa; Arthropoda; Insecta; Hemiptera; Schizopteridae. The record is from RNAcentral.
GACCAAGGAGUCUAACAUGUGUGCAAGUCAUUUGGUUAUAAAACCAAAAGGCGUAACAAAAGUAAAAUAAGCUUUGCUUAAUUAGGGAGGAUAAUUAUAAAAAUUUUUUUAUAAUUCGCACUCCCGGGGCGUCUAUUACUCAUUACGAGUAAAGGCGCACCUAGAGCAUACACGUUGGGACCCGAAAGAUGGUGAACUAUGCCUGGCCAGGAUGAAGCCAGGGGAAACCCUGGUGGAGGUCCGUAGCGAUUCUGACGUGCAAAUCGAUCGUCAGAGCUAGGUAUAGGGGCGAUAGACUUAUCGAACUAUCUAGUAGCUGGUUCCUUCCGAAGUUUCCCUCAGGAUAGCUGGUGCCAAUGAUGAUUAGAGUCUCAUCUGGUAAAGCGAAUGAUUAGAGGCCUUGGGGCCGAAACGACCUCAACCUAUUCUCAAACUUUAAAUGGAUGAGAGCCUUGGCUUGCUUAAAAGUGAAGCCAAGGACUUGGAUCUAGGGUGCCAAGUGGGCCAAUUUUGG